GAUGAACGCUGGCGGCGUGCCUAAUGCAUGCAAGUCGAGCGACGCAUACCGGAGGGGUAACCCACUGGUAUGACGGAGCGGCGAACGGGUGAGUAACACGUGAGCAACCUACCGUUCAGAUCGGGAUAGCCCAGGGAAACCUGGAUUAAUACCGGAUACCCUCGGAGUUCCGCAUGGUUUUUCGAGGAAAGCUCAGGCGCUGAAGGAUGGGCUCGCGGCCUAUCAGCUAGUUGGUGGGGUAACGGCCCACCAAGGCAUCGACGGUAGCUGGUCUGAGAGGACGAUCAGCCACACUGGGACUGAGACACGGCCCAGACUCCUACGGGAGGCAGCAGCAGGGAAUCUUGCGCAAUGGGCGAAAGCCUGACGCAGCAACGCCGCGUGGGGGCAUGAAGGCCUCGGGUUGUAAACCCCUUUCAGGAGGGAAGAAAUUGACGGUACCUCCAGAAGAAGCACCGGCCAACUACGUGCCAGCAGCCGCGGUAAUACGUAGGGUGCGAGCGUUAUCCGGAAUCAUUGGGCGUAAAGAGCUCGUAGGCGGUUCAACAAGUCGGCUGUGAAAGUCCGGGGCUCAACCCCGGAAUUGCAGUCGAUACUGUUGUGACUCGAGUCCGGUAGAGGGGAAUGGAAUUCCCGGUGUAGCGGUGGAAUGCGCAGAUAUCGGGAGGAACACCAGUAGCGAAGGCGGUUCUCUGGGCCGGCAACUGACCUGAGGAGCGGAAGCGUGGGGAGC
Molecule: ribosomal RNA, 733 nt
Filed under: uncultured bacterium
Lineage: Bacteria
Description: bacterial SSU rRNA
Rfam family: Bacterial small subunit ribosomal RNA
Source: RNAcentral